UCUUCUUUUCGCAGUUGAGCUUUCAAGCAGAAACAGGCUUGGAAGCUGCCCAGAGUGGCUGGAGAAAUUAAUAACAACAACAAUAAUAAUAAAUUUUAUUAUUAUUAUUAUUAUUCCUGCCCUCCAGCUUCCUGCCCCCUUAACCUGAGCCUUGCCCCUCUUUUGCCUUCUCUUUUGGAACAGCCACAUCUCCAAGCAAAACUGCAGCUUCCUUGCACAGAGAUUGCCCAGAGGUCAUGGAGGGCUUCCCUGGCUGCCUUUCCCUGGAAGGGAACCAAAGCCCUGGGUUCAGAUCUCAGCCGCAGGCCUCUCUCCCCCAAUGAAACAAGUUUUGAACUGCACACAGGAUGGACUUUCAGGAGGAAGUCGGAGCUGGGACAGCUCAGUUCGCAGAGUGCCAGACUUUCCAUCUCAAAGUCAGGGGUUCGAGUCCGACGGCGGGCGAAAAGAUUCUUCCAUUGCAGAGGGUUGGACUACAAAACGACCUUUGUCGUCCCUUCCAACUCUACGAUUCUAUGAAAUCCUAAAACGUUUCUGUUUGCCCAGACAUUUGAAAGACAUUGUUCCCAAUAACCCUGAGAUGUUUUUAACUGUUUUUAAACAGGGAUCUUUCAUGAGGAAGGGUGGGAUAUAAAUCAAAUAAAGGAGAAGAAAUUUAGAGUAUUGAGUAAAUUUAGUUAUAAAAAUAUUUAUUUAGUACAUUACCGUAUUGGCCCGAAUAUAAGCUGCACCUGAAUAUAAGCCGCACCUUUAAAAUUCAAGGUGUGUGGACUUCCUGGAGGCGGCGCGAAACGGCAAUGGCGGUCCUCUUCGGUCUCUGAAGAGGGGCUCCGCAGAAAAGGGUCGUCCGCUGCGGCACAGCGGUGACCCAUUAAGAAAAACCACGGGCAGAGUGAGCCCGUGGCCGUGGGACUCGGCGGGCACCAGGAGCGACCCCAAAAACGAAGAAGGAACCUCGUAGGGGCUCCGGAAACGUGGAAGGGGGAGCGGUGCUGUGAGUUCAUCGCUCUUUCUGCGGGAGCGAAGCCGCGCGGCUGCUGCUGAUGAGCGCCGACCUUUCUUCUUGGAACAUCAGGCUGUAAACUACCUACUCGUGAGUAAGGAUCAAUCAUUUUGGAACUAAAAGUGUUAAAUUUGGCUGAAAGCGGGAGACGAUAAACAGGAAGUCCGUCUUCCGGCAGUGCUUUAAAGAUCAAAGGCAAAGAUUUUAACAAGCGGGAAGCAGCUUUAAAAGAUUAUAAAUUUGGGACUAUCGUGUUGAUAGAAUUGGCUUUUAAAAAGAAGGAGAAAAGAUUUUUAUUUCUAAGUGUUUUGGACUUUAAAUGGGACUUUCCUCCCCUUUAUGGAUUAUAAAGAAUUAAGAACCAAACCUCGGACUGACAGGAAAAAAGAGAGCUGUCAUUGCGGAAACUGUAUCCAAAAUAGAGACUGUUACAGUUGAGUGAUACUGGUAAGAUACAAUUAAAUAAACUGUUACUGGCACCUUUUAUCUGAGACUUUGUGGCAGCUUGGGAAGUGCUCUGUAAGCUAAAAAGUUUAUGAAGGACUUUUGGUAAAUUAGACUGUUUUGGGGCUGCAGGGACUUUAAUGGCGGAUAAAGUUCUUUCCUUUCUAUGAACUACAGUAAUACUCCCCCCUAGUGGAGUUCUGGAAUUACAAGUGCCUGGGAACAAAUUUUAUUUGGACUAUCUGCUGCUCUGUUAUUUACACUUUGGAACUGUCCUUCCCAUGGGACAAUAUACAGCUUGACCUUGACUCAUAGACAGGUGUGGAAUGAGUGGCCAACCGAAAACAAGAUCUGCUAAAACGAAAGCAAGACAAGCCCAACUUGUGCAAACAACUUUGACUACUCAGUCACGUAGAUCAUCUGUCCCAGCUGUUUUGGGAGUACAAGAAAAGGAAACUGCACAGCCUGCAUCAGAGGAUAUGGCAGAGGGAGGAUCAGAUACCUUCUUAAAACAAAUGCUAGAACAAUUUGCAAUAUUGAACAAGAAGGUGGAUGACCAAUCGGCAAAAAUAGAUCAAGCCACAUCCUCUAUUACUAAAUUGUCUGACCAAGUUGCACAACAUACACAAGUUAUUGGGAAUCUCAAGGAAGCAACUGUGGAAAAUCGGAGACUGGCUGAAGCAGCCAAUGAAAAAGCAGAACAAGCAAAUCAAAAAGUUGAGGCUAUAAAAGGGGAGGUAAGGCCACUACACAAGCACAUUAGUGAUCAGCAGGCUUACCUGUCUAUGGUGGAAUUGAGAAACCGGGAAAACAAUCUGAGAUUAAGAGCUAUCCCAGAGCUUGAACAGGAAGAUUUAAUUGGUUAUCUGACAGCAGAAUUUUCCAAGUUCUGGGGUAUAGAAGAGGACAAAGAUUUCAAGAUCACAACUGCGUUCAGAUUAGGAAGAGUCGUGAGGAGGGACAAGCCCAGAGACUGUUUGAUUAUUUUGAGAUCCAAGCAGGAGAGAGAUAAAAUACUAGGCCUCCACUUUAAGAAAUCACUUGAUAUCCAAGGCAAAAGAGCAGAAUUUUAUAGAGAUAUUCCUAAACAACUUUUGGAUCUCAGAGCCACAUAUACAGACCUAGCAAGACUACUGAGAGGAAACGCGAUUCCAUAUAGGUGGGAGUUUCCCCAAGGUUUAUCUUUUAAUUUUAAAGGAAAGAAAAUUAAGAUUAAAACAUCAGAAGAUAACCAGAAGUUCCUGCACGACCACGGAGAAGACCUUCAGAAGGGAGCAGCAGCCUCUUGGCCACCGCCACUGCCUGGAAAAGCACCGAUACCUACACCCUCGGGGCCAGAAGAAAAGGAAGACACCCCACUAUAGGAACAACAGAUUGAUUCAGAAUGUCUCUGCAGCUGUACAGUUGGAAUAUAAAUGGCGGGAACUCCCGGAAAAAGACGAAGGAUUUUUCAUAUUUUGAAAAAGAACAAUUGGAUAUUGUUUGCUUGCAGGAAACGCAUGUGACUAGGCUCCAUAGGAAAGUGUUAAUCAACAAAAGACUAGGCCAAGAAUUUAUUUCAUCAGACAAAGUGAAGAAAAGAGGCGUAGUGAUUUAUGCAAAGGAGAACCUGUCACCGAAAUUUCUGUUUAAAGAUGAGCAAGGAAGAAUUUUGGCAAUUGAGAUACAAACACAAGGAGAAAAGUUUUUGAUUUUAGGAAUAUAUGCACCAAAUGAGGGGAAAUCGGAAUUUUACAAGAAGCUGCAUGAGAUAAUGCUGGACUAUCUGGACUAUACCAACAUCAUAAUGAUGGGCGAUAUGAAUGGGGUGGUUUCUACUCACAUGGAUAAGUCACAAAAUCAAAAUUUAACUAAAGACGGCAGACUACCUAAAACCUUCUUUGAACUAACUGAUAACAUGGACUUGAUUGAUAUUUGGAGGACAAGGAACCCCUUAGGUAAAGAAGGAACAUUCUUUUCUGAGGCCCACCUAUCAUGGACAAGAAUCGACCAAAUAUGGACAACUAGAGGACUGGCACCUAAGAUCAGAAAAGUGGAAAUCUGUCCAAAGACUUGCUCCGACCAUAAUGCUUUGAAAGUGGAAUUGAGACUUACUCCAACCGGUUCUUUCAGAUGGAAAAUGAAUGACACCCUACUAAGAGAUCAGGAGAUUGUGAAGAAGGCCCAAAAAUCUUUAAAGGACUAUUUUGAAAUCAAUUUGAACACUUCGGUGGAAAAGAGAACAAUCUGGGACGCAAGUAAAGCUGUAAUGAGGGGGUUUCUGAUACAACAGAACACAAUCAAGAAAAAACUUUGGAAUGGGAAAAAGAUAGGAUAUUAGAGAAGAUAAGAGAAGGAGAGAAAAAUUGAGAUUAAAACCAAAAUCAAAAGAGGUUUUAAGAGAAAUCAAAUUCCACCAAGCUCAAUAUGCGAAAUUGAUAAAUCAAGAAGUGGAAUGGAAAAUCAAACAAAUGAAACAAAGAUCAUUUGAAUCGGCAAAUAAAUGUGGAAAACUGCUAGCAUGGCAGUUGAAAAAGAGACAAAAAUUGAACUUUGUCACUAAUCUAGAGGUGGAAGGGAGAAACAUUCAGAAACCAGAAGAAAUUAGAAAGUGUUUCCAGAAAUAUUUCAAAAACUUUAUACACAAGGGCCUCAGGAAGUGUCUGAGAUAGAUCAAUUUUUAAAAGUUAACGGUCUAUCCAAACUAUCUCAGGAGAAGAGGACAAUCUUAAAUAAUAGAAUAACACGACAGGAAAUAGAGGGUGCCAUUCAGAAUAUGCAACUAGGCAAAUCUCCAGGCCCAGAUGGACUUACCUCCAAGUACUAUAAGACACUAAAAGACUAUUUGAUACAACCACUAAUGGAGGUCUGUAACCAGAUUAUGGAGGGGAGGAGGGCACCGGAAACGUGGAAAGAAGCUUUCAUCACAUUGAUUCCUAAAUUGGAAUCUGAAAAGACUCAGCUUAAGAACUACCGUCCCAUCUCACUCCUAAAUGUGGAUUACAAAAUUUUUGCUGAUAUUUUGGCGAGCAGACUUAAAAAAUACUUAACGAAGUAAUUCAUAAGGACCAGGCAGGCUUUCUCCCAGGGAGACAUCUUUUUGAUAAUACCAGGAACAUUAUUGAUAUUUUGGAACUUUUACAAACUAAUAUCAAUACGAAAGCUGUGUUAAUUUUCAUCGAUGCGGAGAAGGCCUUUGAUAAUAUUUCUUGGAUAUUUAUGAAGAGAAACCUGGAAGGGAUGGGAGUGGGACGGGGGUUUGAAAAUGGAAUAGAAGCAAUUUAUUCUGAGCAAAAAGCUAAACUGAUAGUGAACAAUGUGGUGACAGAUGAGUUCAAAAUUGAAAAAGGGACACGACAAGGGUGCCCCUAUCCCCUCUUUUAUUUAUUUCAGUCCUGGAGGUGUUACUGAACAUGAUUAGGAAGGACCGGUUGAUACAAGGAAUACAGGUCGGAGCGAAACAAUAUAAAUUGAAAGCUUUUGCAGAUGAUUUGGUUUUAACAUUACAGGAGCCAGAAUCUAGUACAAAAGAGUAUUAGAAUUGAUUCAUGAGUUUGGUCGGGUGGCGGGAUUUAAGUUGAAUAAGCAAAAACUAAGGUUUUGGGGAAAAACUUGACACCCUCAGAAAUAGAUGGGUUUCAGAAGGAAACAGAACUAAGUGUGGUAAAAAAAGUAAAAUACCUAGGGGUUCACUUGUCAGCGAAAAAUUUGAAUCUAUUUAAAGACAACUAUGAAAAAUGUUGGCUGGAAAUCAAAAAAGAUUUGGAAAUCUGGUCAAGAUUGAAACUUUCCUUGUUGGGUCGAAUUGCAGCUAUAAAAAUGAAUGUAUUGCCGAAAAUGUUAUUUUUGUUUCAAACCCUACAGAUUGUGGACAGAGUGGAAUGUUUUGGAAAGUGGCAGAAGGAUAUAUCCAAGUUUGUUUGGCAGGGCAAAAAGCCCCGGAUAAAGUUUAAAAUACUAACUGAUUUGAAAGAAAGAGGGGGGUUUGCCCUGCCGGACUUGAGAUUAUAUUAUGAAGCUGCGGCCUUCUGCUGGAUGAAAGAUUGGUUACUUCUUGAGAACACUGAUGUUCUAGAUCUGGAAGGGUUUGAUAAUGCUUUUGGUUGGCAUGCAUAUUUGUGGUACGACAAGGUAAAGGUUCAUAAAAUGUUCAAAAAUCAUAUUGUUAGAAAAUCAAUAUUUAUGGUCUGGACAAAAUACAAGGACUUAUUAGAGGGUAAGACUCCGAGGUGGCUUUCACCAGCAGAGGCCAAGGCCCGGAAAAACCUAAUAUGGAGGUUGGUUGGCUGAAAUAUGGGGAAAUUAUAGAAAAAGUAGGAGAAACUUGGAGGCUGCAGAGUUAUGAAAAAUUAAAGAAUAAGGUGCAAAAUUGGCUUCACUAUGCUCAAAUUCAAGAGGUUUUUAAGUUGGACAAAAGAACAGGUUUCCAGGUGGAAAAAUCGAAACUAGAGACAGAAUUGUUGGAACCAAAGACCAAGGUACUUUCGAGAAUGUAUAUCUUGCUGCUUAAAUGGAACACUCAGGAUGAGACAGUCAAAUCAGCCAUGAUAAAAUGGGCUCAGGACAUUGGGUACAACAUUAUGUUUGAAGACUGGGAAAGGUUAUGGACCACUGGUAUGAAAUUCACGGCAUGUAAUGCCUUGAAAGAGAAUAUUAUGAAAAUGAUAUACAGGUGGUACAUGACCCCAGUCAAGCUUGCUAAGAUAUAUCAUUUGUCUGAUAAUAAAUGUUGGAAAUGUAAGGAGGCUGAAGGGACAUUCUUUCACCUCUGGUGGACUUGCCCAAAAGUGAAGGCCUUCUGGGAAAUGAUCUAUAAUGAGUUAAAAAAGUGAUUAAGUACACUUUUCCCAAGAAACCAGAGGCCUUCCUACUGGGCAUUGUCGGUCAGAAGGUGUUAAAGAAGGAUAGAACCUUUUUAUGUAUGCAACUACAGCAGCAAGAAUUCUUAUCGCAAAAUACUGGAAGACUCAAGAUUUACCCACACUGGAAGAGUGGCAGACGCAAUUGAUGGGCUACAUGGAAUUGGCCGAGAUGACUGCCAGGAUCCGAGAUUUGGAGGAAGAAGCAAUGGAGGAGGAUUGGAAAAAAUUUAAAGAUUAUUUACAAAAAUUUUAUAAGUUAUAUGAAUGUUAAGAAUUCGCAUGAUUAGGGAAAUUCAGCUCCAGCAAUAAGAUUAAGGUAUGGGAAACUAAGCUAUAUUAAUGAAAGGACUAACGUUUAAAAGAACAUUAUAUAUAUUAUUAGUGUAAAUUGACAAUAAGCAUUUUAAACGUAAAUCACAAGUAUUUGAAAGAACAAAAGAAUGCACGAAAUAAGGUUAUAAUUUGCUGAAAAAUUUUAUUGUAAAGAACGCAAGGUGAGGGGGGCCGUGGGGCACUCCGGUUGGUUAUGGAAAAAUGCUUUGAAAAGAUGAUUUUCUUCUUUUUCUUUCUCUUUUCUGUUAUUUCUUUGUAUAUCUGACCUUGUAUUUCUAUUUGGAAAAAUGCAAUAAAAAAUAUUAUUAAAAAAAAAAAAAAAAAAUUCAAGGUGUGUGUGUGUGUGGGGAGACAAUACCCGAAUAUAAGCUGCUCCCUUAAUAUUCCGCAGGCACUCAUAUCCGGUCCAUUUUAAUGUAUGUCUGCUUCAGCAGCGAUAUUGUAAAAGCCAGCUUUCAUGAACUUAUAUUUAUCUCACAACAAGAUAGUCUAGAGGGAGAUAGGAGUUAGGUUUUUUAGUCUGUUUGCUUUGGUAUUAACCAUAUCAAUUCUGAUAUUCAACAAUACUUUCUAGUUAUGUCAUUUCUGGAUAUUGAAAUACCUGGGCUUCAUUUUCUACAGGUUGGAUGUAUCAUUCAGAAGUUCACAUCAUUUCAUUCUCCUAAACUUUGUAUAUUAAUAAAUAGAGAAAAUCAUCUAAAUGAUCUUCCGUAGUCUGCUGGUUUAAUUUCUGUAUUGUGUAAGCUCUGCUCCCUGUCCCAAAGAGUAGCAACUGACCUGGCAGAAAUGACUGGCAGAAUCCGUGACCAGGGAGAAGAGUCGGUGGAAGAAGAUUGGAAGAAAUUUAAAGACUAUUUACAGAAAUACUGUAAAAUUAAUGAAUGUUAGAAUGAUGUUGGAUUGAAGUUAAGGGGUUUCUAGCUGUAUGGGUACAAAAGAAUAUGGAAAAAUUGGUUUUUAAUAUGUAAAAAUCUAACGUCACAAUAUAUCAAGACUAAGGAAUAGGAGUAAAAAGGAGGGAAAGGAAUUGUUGAAUUAACAAUUGAAUUAGAAUACAAAAGAGGGAGGUAUGAGGAGGUCCGGGGAAACAAGUAAACGUAAAAGAAGUGAGGAAAAGAUGGAAUUGUUUUUAACUGCUUUUUCUUUUCUUUUUUCUAUUUUCUAUUUUUCUUUUUUAUUGCUAAUUUUUUUUAUUAAUGUGAUUUUUCCCCCCUUUGAAACUUUAAUAAAUUUUUUUUUUUUUUUUAAAGAGUAGCAACUGACCUUAGCCAAGCCUUGACUGGAGUCCAAUGGAUUUUAUUGCGUUGUCCAGGAUAUGACACCUUGUGCACUGAUGUUGAGUGGAUCACCAGAUUACCAGUGAGCCGGCAACAAGUUCAGCAUUGGAGGGAAGCAAUGAGAUGAUGCCAGAUAGUUGUAUCCCCUGCCUGCCAAACCUUUUCAGAGGAGGCAUAUUACGCUCAGUCAGGAAGGAAGACCGAGAGGCCUCCUCCUCCUACUCAGGUUCCUCCCAUUCAGGCCGCCAUUUAUAGAGCAAAACCAAGAUCAGAUGGGCAAGUAAAAAUAACUGACAGAACAGCCACCGAUGAAGCAUUUAGAAUAAGUUAAUUAGCCAAGAUUGCACCCUACUUAAUCUUUCAACACUUCAAAUUGGUGGAAAGCUUACUAAGCUCUCAGUCUUAUAGCAAUUCAACCUGUAGAAUUCCAAUGAAGGGUGCAAUAUAAAAUUAAUAAAUAAAGGUCCUAAGAAAGCUUAUGUAUGUAUGCAACCACAGCAGCUAGAACUUUAUAUGCACAGAAAUGGAAAGAGUUCCCCACCAAGGAGGAAUGGCUUAUGAAACUGGGGGAAUAUGCUGAAAUGGUGAAAUUACCUGCUAAAAUUACCAUCCAAAGUUACCAUCCUAAAUGAUGGAUUGUUUAAGGAAGAAUGGAGAUCAUGGAUAUAUUAUCUGUCAAACCAUCAUCCAUACAUGAAGUCAAAGGCAGAGGAUUAUUGAAAUACGACAUCGGGGCUUACAUAAUAAAAGCAUAUAUAUUUUAAAACAUCUGAUAAAAUGGAGUAAUAAAAACAAACAUCAAGAAAGGAGAGGUGGGGAGUCAAGAAGAAAUUAUGUAUUUAUUUUUACAAAUUGUAUAAGAAGAAAGGUGUUUUGGAAUAUCUAUGGAGAGUUUAUUUAAAAAAUUGUUUUAAAAAAAUAUAUUUUUAUUAAGGAUCCACCCAGAUUCUUAGGAAGUUGAGGAAAUAUGAGGAACAUACUUUUGUAUGUUCUGAAGUAAGUUUGUAAACUUUUUAAUGAUUGUCCUGCCUUAUCUUUACAUAAAGCGCUUUGGGAGUUAUUGGCCU
RNAcentral lists this long non-coding RNA (8965 nucleotides) under Podarcis lilfordi (Lilford's wall lizard). Lineage: Eukaryota; Metazoa; Chordata; Lepidosauria; Squamata; Lacertidae. The record is from RNAcentral.